GUGAAUCAUCGAAUUUUUGAACGCAUAUUGCACUCUUUGGUAUUCCGGAGAGUAUGCCUGUUUGAGGGUCAUUUGAAAUAAUAUAAAUUUCGAGAUUUUCUUGGCAUCAAAAAUGGGACGGUCCAGCUUUCGUGUGGUGGUCGCCUAAAAUGCACGACAUGCUCAGUUCUUGGGCAGCGUGAUACUUUCAGUUACCUCGUGACCUCACACGGAAUCCUCUAGCGUGUUCAGUAUUUUGCAAGAGAUCAUC
Molecule: unclassified non-coding RNA, 250 nt
Filed under: Archaeospora ecuadoriana
Lineage: Eukaryota; Fungi; Glomeromycota; Glomeromycetes; Archaeosporales; Archaeosporaceae
Description: partial contains 5.8S ribosomal RNA and internal transcribed spacer 2
Rfam family: 5.8S ribosomal RNA (bases 1-71)
Source: RNAcentral